Molecule: microRNA precursor, 124 nt
Filed under: Cinara cedri
Lineage: Eukaryota; Metazoa; Arthropoda; Insecta; Hemiptera; Aphididae
Source: RNAcentral
UUUUUUUUUUUUUUUUUUUUUAGGACCGCUCGUACAUUUUAUAUUAAUCGAGUCUUGUACACGUUAUACAGCGACCAGGUUAAUAUAAAAUGUACGAGCGGUCCUAAAAAAAAAAAAAAAAAAA